RNAcentral lists this ribosomal RNA (446 nucleotides) under uncultured bacterium. RNAcentral describes it as "partial 16S ribosomal RNA". It matches the Rfam family "Bacterial small subunit ribosomal RNA", at positions 338 to 795 of the family's 1533-position model. The record is from RNAcentral.
CCUACGGGAGGCAGCAGUCGAGAAUCAUUCACAAUGGGGGAAACCCUGAUGGUGCGACGCCGCGUGGGGGAAUGAAGGUCUUCGGAUUGUAAACCCCUGUCAUGUGGGAGCAAAUUAAAAAGAUAGUACCACAAGAGGAAGAGACGGCUAACUCUGUGCCAGCAGCCGCGGUAAUACAGAGGUCUCAAGCGUUGUUCGGAAUCACUGGGCGUAAAGCGUGCGUAGGCUGUUUCGUAAGUCGUGUGUGAAAGGCGCGGGCUCAACCCGCGGACGGCACAUGAUACUGCGAGACUAGAGUAAGGGAGGGGGAAGCGGAAUUCUCGGUGGAGCAGUGAAAUGCGUAGAUAUCGAGAGGAACACUCGUGGCGAAGGCGGGUUCCUGGACAUUAACUGACGCUGAGGCACGAAGGCCAGGGGAGCGAAAGGGAUUAGAUACCCGGGUAGUC